RNAcentral lists this unclassified non-coding RNA (333 nucleotides) under soil metagenome. RNAcentral's name for it is "partial contains 5.8S ribosomal RNA, internal transcribed spacer 2, and large subunit ribosomal RNA". The stretch from base 1 to 120 matches the Rfam family "5.8S ribosomal RNA", at positions 35 to 154 of the family's 154-position model. The record is from RNAcentral.
GAUGAAGAACGUAGCGAAAUGCGAUACGUAAUGUGAAUUGCAGAUUUCAGUGAAUCAUCGAAUCUUUGAACGCACAUUGCGCCCGCUAGUAUUCUGGCGGGCAUGCCUGUUCGAGCGUCAUUUCAACCAUCAAGCCCUGUGCUUGUGUUGGAGCCCUGCGGCUGCCGCAGGCUCCCAAACCCAGUGGCGGGCUCGUCGUCGUACCGAGUGCAGUAAACAUACCACGCUCAGGGCACGCGACGGGUGACCGGCCGUAAAACCCCCCCCUUCUCAAGGUUGACCUCGGAUCAGGUAGGAAUACCCGCUGAACUUAAGCAUAUCAAUAAGCGGAGA